RNAcentral lists this ribosomal RNA (480 nucleotides) under uncultured Bacteroidota bacterium. RNAcentral describes it as "bacterial SSU rRNA". Lineage: Bacteria; Pseudomonadati; Bacteroidota. The record is from RNAcentral.
CGCCUGAGUUGAUCUGGCUCAGGAUGAACGYUCAGGCAGGCUUAAUACAUGCAAGUCGAGGGGCAGCAGCUUAUAGCAAUAUAGAGGCUGGCGACCGGCAAACGGGUGCGGAACACGUACACAACCUUCCCUGAAUAGGGGGAUAGCCCAUAGAAAUGUGGAUUAAUACCCCGUAAUAUAGCGGUGUGGCAUCACACUGUUAUUAUAGUUUCGGCGAUUCGAGAUGGGUGUGCGGCUGAUUAGGUAGUUGGCGGGGUAAAGGCCCACCAAGCCUUCGAUCAGUAGCUGAUGUGAGAGCAUGAUCAGCCACACGGGCACUGAGACACGGGCCCGACUCCUACGGGAGGCAGCAGUAAGGAAUAUUGGUCAAUGGACGCAAGUCUGAACCAGCCAUGCCGCGUGAAGGAUGAAGGUCCUYUGGAUUGUAAACUUCUUUUAUAGGGGGCGAAAAAAGGUCUUCUAGAUCACUGACAGUACCCG